CCCGGUGUGGAUCUUCCGACUGUUCUUUGAUCCUGAGAAUUUUGGUAUGCUUAUAUACGAAUAACCCUUCGUAUGGAUCUACUUCUUCGUCAUAUUGAGGAAUCAGACUGUGUAGGUAAAGCACAAAACGACGACUGAAUAAUUGAAAAACCCCCAAACAUCCAGUCCUGAAAUCGAAAAAAUUGACCAAAAUUCAUCCAAACCCAUUCUAUGUUCUCUAAAACCACGCACACAUACACACAUCUACAAUACCCCCUGAAGCUUCCGAUCGUUAAAAAAAUCAAACAGAGAUAAAGAGAGGAGCAUCACCGGUUAUUGUGAUUUAAUUGUUGAUUUGGAGAUGAUACUGUUUCCUGAUUUGUUGCUAUGUAAUUGUUGAUUCUUUGGAAUGUUAGGUUUUUAGAAUUAAUGAUUUCUUGAUAUAAAUCACGUAGUUGAUUCCCAAAAAAAUUGAAUUUCAAAAGAGAAUAAGAGGAAUUAACAAUACAUGCAAUUAUAUAGUGGCACAAGGGUAGAAUUGGAAUUUCAGAUUGAUAAUAUGGGUGGGAAAAAAAGCUGGAGGAGAGCUAAGAAAAUGCCACGUGGCGAAAAUGUAUUGUUUUAUUAGAAUAGAGGAUGUCUUUAGAUGUGCUUAGUAAUCACAUUUCGGUCUCCUCGUUAGUCAAUGCUUGCCUACAUGUUCUCUUCCUCUGCUAUGGAUUUUACUCUUUUGGACACGAUGUGCUCCUCCCAUCGAUUC
This 739-nucleotide long non-coding RNA is filed under the name Lactuca sativa (garden lettuce). RNAcentral describes it as "long non-coding RNA (LSAT_LNC000327)". Lineage: Eukaryota; Viridiplantae; Streptophyta; Magnoliopsida; Asterales; Asteraceae. The record is from RNAcentral.